CCUACGGGGGGCAGCAGUGAGGAAUAUUGGUCAAUGGGCUUACGCCUGAACCAGCCAAGUCGCGUGAGGGAAGACUGCCCCAUGGGUUGUAAACCUCUUUUGUCAGGGAGCAACGCCGGCUACGUGUAGCCGGACUGAGAGUACCUGAAGAAAAAGCAUCGGCUAACUCCGUGCCAGCAGCCGCGGUAAUACGGAGGAUGCGAGCGUUAUCCGGAUUUAUUGGGUUUAAAGGGUGCGCAGGCGGCGAGUUAAGUCAGCGUGAAAAUUUCGGGGCUCAACCCCGACGAGCCUUUGAAACUGGCUUG
Molecule: ribosomal RNA, 305 nt
Filed under: uncultured bacterium
Lineage: Bacteria
Description: bacterial SSU rRNA
Rfam family: Bacterial small subunit ribosomal RNA
Source: RNAcentral